UUUCUUUUACACAUGUGGGCAUCCAACAC
Molecule: non-coding RNA, 29 nt
Filed under: Mus musculus (house mouse)
Lineage: Eukaryota; Metazoa; Chordata; Mammalia; Rodentia; Muridae
Source: RNAcentral